RNAcentral lists this ribosomal RNA (404 nucleotides) under uncultured bacterium. RNAcentral's name for it is "partial 16S ribosomal RNA". It matches the Rfam family "Bacterial small subunit ribosomal RNA", at positions 28 to 526 of the family's 1533-position model. The record is from RNAcentral.
GACGAACGCUGGCGGCGUGCCUAAUACAUGCAAGUCGACCAGUGGCGAACGGGUGAGUAACACGUGAGUAACCUGCCCUCCACUUUGGGAUAACUCCGAGAAAUCGGGGCUAAUACUGGAUAGUUGGGGAUGGGCUCGCGGCCUAUCAGUUUGUUGGUGAGGUAGUGGUCCCCAAGGGGUGACGGGUAGCCGGCCGGAGAGGGGGACCGGCCACACGGGGACUGAGACACGGACCAGACUCGUACGGGAGGCAGUAGUGGGGAAUAUGGCGCAAUGGGCGAAAGCCUGAUGCAGCGACGCCGCGUGGGGGAUGACGGCCUUCGGGUUGGAAACCUCUGUCAGCAAGGAAGCGGUACUUGCAGAAGAAGCGCCGGCUAACUACGUGCCAGCAGCCGCGGUAAUUC